AAGAGGGAGGCACUGACCACAGUGCAGAACCAGUAACCUUGUCUUAUGUGAUCAUUAACCUUGCUGGAAAAUGCAGCUGGCAGUUCACUCUGUUAGCUGGUCAUAGGAUGUGAGGGAGACACACAGGCACUGCGGAGCCUUGCAAGGAUUUUUUGAUCUGCUCCAAGUAUUAUUAAAUACCAGUUCUACUUGCUGUGACUGCAAGAUGAGAUUCCCGCAGCUCCUUCACAUUGUGUUUUUCCUCUUGCUGAGUCUACUCCUUACCGCUGGCCAGAGACCAGCUAACCUGGUCCUGCGCAGAAAGCUACACAGACACAACUGCGCUCACAGGAGAUGCAUGCCUCUCCACUCCAGAGUGCCUUUCCCCUGAGGGAUCUUCAAGCUGGUGUUGCUUUGCUAAAUUUAGGUGAUGGAAACAUCUGUCCAAAUGAUUCUUCACUAUUGAAGAUGAAGGCCCAUUUACAUGUUGUUUUCAACAGAAGACAGAUUAGAUGAGAUUCCUCAUCAGUGACAGCAUAAACAUAACCAGCUAAAGCAAUCAGAUCAGCUCAUUCAGUAGGCAGCAGAAAGAAGAAUGAAACAGAGAAGACCAAUCAAGAAAAUCAGCUAGCUGCAGCAUGCUAGCCCGUGCAGGUGUCCACAUGUAAGCCAUCAUCUGUAAGCAUUCAGAACCUUAUCAGGCUUGUAUUGGAACAGCUUCACAGGAGUUUCAGAUUUCUCUGAGUGGAGAAAAACAAUGGACUCAAACACGACCUCAGUUUGGAACUGUGGAAAAUCAUCAGUGCCAUAAAAAUAGUCAACCAUUUCAGCACACCAACGUAUAGCCAUGAGGGUAACAGUGAAAUCGCUACUGAAAAAAGAAAGCUUUCCAAAAUGAGAGCAGUUGUACCACUUUUAAAAGCUUUUGUUUUUAACAGGAAUUACUUACCUUUCACAUGUCUAUGUAUACCUUUGUUUUUAGAUAUAAUAGCAGAAUAUUAAAAAAACAAGGAUUCUGAAGCAGCUAUUUAAUAAUUACAUUGUAAAGAAUGAAUAUAUAAGUUCUGGUGUUUUUAAUGGUAUUGUAUGUUUAUAUAUAACCAUAAUUAUUCAGUUAAUUUUGCUAAAAUAUUAAGAAAAACAAAAUAUAGAGGGCUACAGGUGCAUGUUCAUUUAUGGAUGGAAAAGAUGUUGUUAACUACAGUACUAAACUGUUUGGAAAGCAAAAUGACAAACUAGACUUUAGAAAAUAAUUUUGAAUGUCUUUGUUCAUUUUUAGUCAUGUUGUAUAUCACAAAAACAUCUUAGUAGAAACAUAGCUGGUAACCUUUGAUUGCUAUGUUUAUAAAAUAGCAAAGUGGCUGUAUAUUUUGUAAAAAAAUAUGCACUUCAAGUAUCAUGUUAAUGUUUCAUUUUAAAUACACUUUGUACAUUUUUUAAUUUUAUAUUCUUUACAUAUAAAGGGCCUUGCAUCCAAA
Molecule: RNA transcript, 1457 nt
Organism: Gavialis gangeticus (Gharial)
Lineage: Eukaryota; Metazoa; Chordata; Crocodylia; Gavialidae
Gene: APELA
Gene name: apelin receptor early endogenous ligand
Exons: 4
Source: RefSeq, a predicted model, not a curated record